This 67-nucleotide transfer RNA is filed under the name Ectatops sp. Its description in RNAcentral is "tRNA-Pro". The record is from RNAcentral. Lineage: Eukaryota; Metazoa; Arthropoda; Insecta; Hemiptera; Pyrrhocoridae.
CAGAAUAUAGUUUAUUUAGAAUAUUAAUUUUGGAGAUUAAUGGAAAUUAAUUUAUAAUUUGUUCUGA